UGGUUUUAGAGUUGGGGCUCUGGAACAGCAUGCAGAUCCUUCUCAGUCCAUGCUUUCUCAUCUGAUGGGAUCACCACUCCUGUCUGUAUUAGUCAGAGCUCUUAAGAGAAAUAUAACCAAUAAGGAAGAUACUGUGAGAACAAAUUAUUUUCAUGAAAUGGCUUGUGGGAUUGUGGAGUGUUCUGGAACCUUGAGCAUGAAUAGUUUCUCCAUUGCAGCCUUGGGAAGAGUCCUUCUAAAGGGAACUUUAGUCUUUGUUCACAGGGCCUUUGGGCCUUCUACUGAUUGUAUGAGGCCCGCAUCUGAUGGGUAAUGUGCUUUAUUGAAAGUCAAUUGAUUGUAAACAUUAACCACAAAUUAAAAAUGCCUUUCCAACAACAACUAGAUAACU
This is a long non-coding RNA of Perognathus longimembris pacificus (Pacific pocket mouse), 391 nucleotides long. RefSeq lists it as uncharacterized. The transcript has 2 exons. Lineage: Eukaryota; Metazoa; Chordata; Mammalia; Rodentia; Heteromyidae. The record is from RefSeq and is a predicted model, not a curated record.